GCGCGCGUAUCUACGGAUCAGAAGGUUGGGGGUUCGAAUCCCUUCGCGCGCA
RNAcentral lists this transfer RNA (52 nucleotides) under Candidatus Planktophila sp. Its description in RNAcentral is "tRNA-OTHER". Lineage: Bacteria; Bacillati; Actinomycetota; Actinomycetes; Candidatus Nanopelagicales; Candidatus Nanopelagicaceae. The record is from RNAcentral.